Molecule: ribosomal RNA, 253 nt
Filed under: uncultured bacterium
Lineage: Bacteria
Description: partial 16S ribosomal RNA
Rfam family: Bacterial small subunit ribosomal RNA
Source: RNAcentral
UACGUAGGGGGCGAGCGUUGUCCGGAAUCAUUGGGCGUAAAGCGCGUGUAGGCGGUCCGGUAAGUCCGCUGUGAAAGUCGGGGGCUCAACCCUCGGAUGCCGGUGGAUACUGUCGGGCUUGAGUACGGAAGAGGCGAGUGGAAUUCCUGGUGUAGCGGUGAAAUGCGCAGAUAUCAGGAAGAACACCCGUGGCGAAAGCGGCUCUCUGGGACGGUACUGACGCUGAGACGCGAAAGCGUGGGGAGCGAACAGG